Calidris pugnax (ruff) is the source of this 12187-nucleotide RNA transcript. It is a transcript of the gene named protein tyrosine phosphatase, non-receptor type 21, with no coding region annotated. Lineage: Eukaryota; Metazoa; Chordata; Aves; Charadriiformes; Scolopacidae. The record is from RefSeq and is a predicted model, not a curated record. The transcript is spliced from 21 exons.
UGGGGCUUGGAGCAACCUGGUCUGGUGGGAGGUGUCCCUGCCCAUGGCAGGGGGGUUGGAACUCCAUGAUCUUUAAGGUCCCUUCCAACCCAAACCAUUCUAUGAUUCUAUGAUUCGUCUUUUCCACCCAUAAUCUUCAACAAGAGAGUAAAGAGUGCAGCAAAAGGUGCGAGUGUUUCACCCAUGCAUAUUGUCAGCCCUGAGCAGGGGCUAAAGGGGAGAAGCAGAAGCACUUCAUAGCACCCCGAGGCAAUCACUCUGUGCCUUAUUGAUGCGUAUCAGUAUCAGAGUUCAUCACAUGUUCAUGGAUGCCUUGGUCUCUUUGUCCUAUUUAUUAGAGUGGAUGAGAGCUGAUAAGGCAAAAAAUGAGAUAGGGCAGAUUGGAGAAAGUGCGGAAAAACACAAAGUGAGGAUUCAAACUGGGAUUAUAGGGAACAGAAAUGAAAAUUUAAUUCUGGAAUGUUUGAUGAGCUUCAAAAAGAGAAGAUGUAAGCUGCAGAGCAGCAUAUUGACAAUACCCUAUUUGUCUCUUCAGAUGAUGUGUUGUCCUUAACAUAAAUACAAAGAGAGAAAAUACAGUAAGGGGUAACAUGGAAAGUAAGAAAACUGUAAUAAAUGCAACUUCUAGGCAGAGAAUCAGGCAGGAAAUGGGUGUGAUUGAAGUUCAGAAUAGGAAAUGUGACAGAUCAGAGAAUUCAGACCUUGUUUCCAGUAUGAAUUGUUUAGAAAUAGGAAGGGUUGCUUCUGUUACCCUGAAUUUUCAUGGCUUGGUUUGUCAUGCAUUGUAUUGGUCAGUUUUCUCUGUCGAAUAACCAUAACUCUGGCCUGUAGCAAGUACCAUUAAAAAAGGGUAUCUGCCUAGUUCAUUUCGAAGUUAGGUUAUUUUAUUCAGUGUGAAAAAAUUCCCCUGAAUGAGGUCUUUCCUUGGCUUAUGGGCUGCUCAUCAUAACUGGGGCUGAUGUGCGGGGGAGGGAAAAAGAUUCCCCCGAUUAGAGGAAAGCCCAUUGUGUCUAAGAGAAGUAACUCAGAAGAAUUCAUCAGAGUACAAAAUUACCUACAUACUUCAGUGGAGAUUAGUGCCCUCCCGAGUAACAAGCUAUUUGCAUAGCAGAUCUGCAGGUUAGACCUGCUCAGACAGUAGCUUUAUGUUACCAAAACACUUUCUAAGUUUUAGCCAUGAGUCAGCGUUUGCACCCUCACUUUACCUUUCUCCUCAUCCUGGACCUGUUGCGAGUUUGUAUAUACGUUUGUCUGGCUCACUGGAGUGCAGCCCCUCAUAUGAUGCUUGCAUUGUUUAAACACAAUAUUACUUAACUAAUAUGCAUUAAAUGCUUGAUAAAGUGGUUGUUAUUCAAAGCAUAGUUUCCUCUGACACCUUUGGGAGUUUUAAGUCCAAGUAAAAGCUGAAAGAUGUUUAAUCUGCAUUUUUUUUGCUAUGUAUAUUACCAACAGCUGAAGCUUUUCAAUUAUUUUUGUUUUUAGCUGCAGACGUGAAUGUAUGUGCGUAAGUCAUGUGGUAUUGAACACGGAUUAAGCUUUUAAAACUUUUCCAAGCUGCGUGAAAAUAAGACCGACGGAUAUUUUUUGGCAAGAGAUUUGCCUUAAUUGGAAAGGCUUAAAAUAAAUGAUCAUAUGAUUAAAAAAAGCAAGGAUUGCCUGCUAUUUGUUGUAACCCCUAUUUCUGUAAUGCCCCCGUAGCCAGAGAAGCAGCUGUUCAUUGCUGACAUUCUCCCUGCCAGGCAUUCCAACUCUCUGAGGUAAUGGGCUACAAGCAUACGGGCCUUCGCUUUAAUUCUUUCAGCGUAUCCUUCCGCAUGGAUAGAGCGAGGGGAACGCCUCCAGGAAAAGAAAUUAAAUGCACACACACGGAGGCACACGGAGACGGGCCAUUUGAAAAUAUUCCCCAGAAAACGCCGUUUGCGCUCAUGCAGCGCAGCGUCACGUGAAGGAGGCAGCCCUGAAGAGCUGGCCGGCACAGGUUUAUUUUGUUGUAAUAUUUUUCUUCCACCCCCAGCUCUUUACCCAGUGGAAUGAUAUCCAGAGCGAGUUUUUUGAGACAGGAAGUGAGGAAUGUUUUCACUAUGAGUGAUCUGAGAAGAAGGUGGGUUAGCCGAGAUAGCAGCUGUUUCGGCCGAGAGGAACACAGUAAGUCAGUUCCUGAGGAAUACCGAUGAGAUGGCUCCGGGAGAAGAAGUCUUGGAGCACUGUGGGGUUUUUUCGGCUACACGUAUGUGAAAGGAGACUCGGUGUCUUUGGAUCGCUGCAAAAGGGUUCCAGUGGAUGCCCCUUCUACUUGUCUCUUGGUGGAAAACUUGCUUGUCUUUAAUGGAUACGGCUGCUGGUGGUUGAUCUCUGGAGACUUUACAGCUCCUUACCUUUAGAGAGGAGAUUGCUACUUGUCCCCUCGCGAGGUCCCAGUGGUAGUAGCUUUUUAUCAGUAACCAUCUGUGGGGGAAAAAGAAGAUGCCUCUGCCUUUUGGGUUAAAAUUGAAACGAACUCGACGUUAUACGGUAUCCAGCAAGAGUUGCUUGGUUGCUCGUAUCCAGCUGCUCAACAAUGAAUUUGUGGAGUUCACGCUGUCGGUGGAAAGCACGGGCCAGGAAAGUCUGGAAGCGGUGGCUCAGAGGCUUGAAUUGCGGGAGAUAACGUAUUUCAGUCUGUGGUAUUAUAAUAAGCAGAAUCAGCGCAGAUGGGUAGAUUUGGACAAGCCUCUGAAAAAGCAGCUGGACAAAUAUGCCUUGGAGCCAACCGUGUAUUUUGGAGUAGUGUUUUAUGUGCCUACUGUUUCUCAGCUUCAGCAGGAGAUUACCAGGUAUCAGUAUUAUUUGCAAUUAAAGAAAGAUAUCUUGGAGGGCAGCAUUCCUUGCACACUGGAACAAGCAAUACAUCUGGCUGGUUUAGCUGUUCAGGCUGAUUUUGGAGACUAUGAUCAGUAUGAAUCUCAGGAGUUUCUACAACGAUUUGCUUUGUUUCCAGUGGGUUGGCUACAAGAAGAAAAAAUAUUGGAAGAAGCGACACAGAAAGUUGCCUUGCUACAUCAGAAAUACAGAGGCCUUACUCCUCCUGAUGCGGAAAUGUUGUAUAUGCAAGAAGUAGAGAGAAUGGAGGGCUAUGGUGAAGAGACCUAUCCUGCAAAGGACAGCCAAGGAAGUGACAUAUUCAUUGGAGCAUGUCUUGAUGGUAUCUUUGUGAAACACAAAAAUGGUCGUCCUCCUGUCGUAUUUAGGUGGCAUGAUAUUGCCAACAUGUCCCACAACAAAUCCUUUUUUGCAUUAGAGCUGGCAAACAAAGAAGAGACAAUCCAGUUCCAAACUGAAGAUAUGGAAACAGCAAAAUACGUGUGGAGGAUGUGUGUGGCAAGACACAAAUUUUACAGACUAAAUAAAUGCAGCCUAGACUCCCUGGACUCUCCACCUGAGGAGGGCUCUCAGAAAUCUUCCCUCAUUCUUUCCCUUCCACGCUUUCCAAUCCUUUCUCGUCCUUCACUUCCCAAAGGACAAACCCAGCCCGUUACAGUGAACCCUGUUAGAAGGCGGUCUUCGUCCAGGAUGUCUAUGCCCAAGCCUCAGCCUUAUAUGAUGCCUCCACCACCUCAGCUGCAUUACAAUGGUCAUUAUACUGAACCAUAUGCAUCUUCCCAAGAUAACCUCUUUGUGAGCAAUCAGAACGGAUACUACUGCCACUCCCAGACUAGCCUGGAUAGAGCCCCUCACGACUACAGCGGUCGGAUCCGUAACGGGAGCGUCUACAGCGCACACAGCACAAACUCCUUGAACAACCCCCAGCAUUACCUGCAGCCCUCCCCCAUGUCCUCCAACCCCAGCAUUACUGGAAGCGACGUCCUCAGAACCGACUACAUCCCGUCGCACAGACACAGCGCGCUGAUACCGCCUUCUUACCGCCCUACGCCCGACUACGAAACUGUGAUGAGGCAGCUCAACAGGGGGAUGGUGCACACGGACAGACAGAGCCAUUCUAUGAGAAAUCUGAACAUUGGCAAUUCCUAUGCUUACAGCAGGCCUGACGCCUUAGUUUACAGCCAGCCUGAAAUACGAGAACACGCUCACUUUGCUUCCCCACAAUCUAACCAUUACCCGUUUAACCUGAACUACAGCUUUCACAGCCAGUCCCCCUACCCCUAUCCUGCUGAAAAGCGCCCGGUUGUUGGGGCAGUCAGCGUCCCUGAGCUGACAAAUGUGCAGCUCCAGGCUCAGGAUUAUCCAGCACCAAAUAUAAUGAAGACCCAAGUCUAUCGCCCGCCUCCCCCGUACCCGUACCCGAGACCUGCCAAUAGUACUCCGGACCUUUCCCGACACAUCUACAUCAGCAGCAGCAAUCCAGACCUGAUCACGAGGCGAGUGCACCACUCUGUCCAGACAUUUCAAGAAGACAGCCUGCCUGUGGCACAUUCUCUUCAGGAAGUCAGUGAACCUCUAACCUCUGCCCACCACGCUCAGCUGCAGAAGAGGAACAGCAUUGAAAUAGCAGGCUUGGCUCCCAGCUUCGAAGGGAUAAGAAUUAAAGAGAGGACCAUGUCAGCUUCGGCAGCAGACGUGGCUCUUCCAAGAGUUAUCUCAGAAGGGUCACAGCCCAACGUGCUGAUGGAGAGGACAAAGCAAAAAGAAAGUGAGCAAGAAGAAAGUGUGAAUUGUGAUCAUAAGAAAACUCUUUCGGAUGCCACUAUGCUGAUUCACAGUAGUGAGGAAGAAGAAGAAUUUGAAGAAGAAAACAAGGCUGGUACAAGUCUUUCUCCUCUCCCUGAAGAUCAAACCCAACUUUCAUCCGUUAUGGGUGGUUAUUCUCAUGAUUCAGUGCUGAACUACCCUUAUAGCUCUGUUGCUUCACCUGCUGGCCCUUUGCAUAUUCUUGAGCCUAAAUUACAUAUUACAGAGACAGAAAAGAGAAUGAAAGAUAUGAGCCCUGUUCAUUUACUAGUAGAAAGCCAGGUACAGAGAAGAGGGGAAGGACUGCUUACUCCAUCUAUGUCAGAAUCUGAUCUUACAACAUCAGGGAGAUACAGAGUAAGGAAAGAUUCAGUAAAGAAGAGACCUGUGUCUGAUCUUCUGUCUGGGAAGAAGAAUAUUGUGGAAGGCCUUCCUCCGUUAGGUGGUAUGAAAAAGAAUAAAAACGAUGCAAAAAAAAUAGGGCCUCUAAAGCUGGCUGCCCUAAAUGGACUAGCUUUGACUAGAAUGCCUCUGACAGAUGAGGGCAAGGAAGAAUCAACAAGAGCAACAAAUGAUGAACGGUGUAGAGUUCUGGAGCAGCGGUUAGAGCAGGGGAUGGUGUUUACUGAAUAUGAGCGCAUUCAGAAAAAAAGACUCCGAGAUGGUGAGUGCUCAAUAGCUCGGCUUCCUGAGAAUGCUGAAAGAAACCGCUUCCAGGACGUCCUUCCUUAUGAUGAUACCAGAGUAGAGCUAGUCCCAACCAAAGAAAAUAACACGGGUUACAUCAAUGCGUCUCAUAUCAAGAUCUCUGUUGGUGGCAUAGAGUGGGAUUACAUUGCUACGCAGGGCCCUUUGCAGAACACGUGUCAGGAUUUCUGGCAGAUGAUCUGGGAGCAAGGGAUUGCCAUCAUAGCUAUGGUGACAGUAGAGGAAGAAAGUGGGCGAGAAAAAAGCUUCAGAUACUGGCCACGUCUUGGUUCAAGACACAACACUGUAACGUAUGGAAGAUUUAAGAUCACCACACGAUUCCGUACGGACUCGGGCUGCUACGCAACAACGGGUUUGAAGAUUAAGCACCUUCUCACAGGACAGGAGAGAACAGUUUGGCACCUGCAGUACACUGACUGGCCAGAGCAUGGUUGCCCGGAGGAUUUAAAGGGAUUUCUCUCUUACUUGGAAGAGAUCCAGUCCGUGCGGCGCCACACGAACAGCACCGCGGACCCAAAGAGCUCCAAUCCCCCCGUGCUGGUGCACUGCAGCGCAGGUGUGGGACGGACAGGAGUGGUCAUUCUGUCAGAAAUCAUGAUCGCUUGUUUGGAACACAAUGAGAUGCUGGACAUCCCACGAGUGCUGGACAAGUUGAGGCAGCAGAGAAUGAUGAUGGUGCAGACUCUUUCACAGUACACUUUCGUCUAUGGAGUUCUCAUUCAGUUUCUCAAAAGUUCCAGACUUAUUUAAUCCCUGCCGCUUCCUGAGGGACCCUGCAAGAGUUUACAGAAAGAAAAUCACAGUUGUCCAGGCAGAUCUGCUCUCACUGGUGUUUUCUUCAUACGAUGAAUCACACAGUUACCGUUCAGGGCUGGUAUGUGACUGUUAAAUGAGAGUCAUUGUAACAGUCCCUGCAAAGCAGCAUCUUCACUGGACUCAAUUCUUCCCAUGUUCAGCUGCAGUCGAAUUAAGGGAAUGAUUUUACUUGUAUUGGUCUGUAGUACUUGCAUACGUUCUUUGGGGUGGUGUUACUCUGGGCAAAAUAAGUAUCUUAUGGAAUGGAAGUAUAUGGCACAAUUUUACUAACAUUAUGUUGUAAAGCAUAAUUGUUAACUGUGCAAAAGCUAAAAACUCUUGGUGCACGUGGGGUGAGAAACCUGCUCCUUGGGAAUGUAGAGGUCUCAGGCAGUUUUGUUCUGCUUUCAAUUUUAUACUUAGAACAAUACAUCUAUAUUUUUUAAAAUGAACUUUUGGUUUCCUCUGGUUUACUCAGCAAAAUUAGCAGCUCUUAGAUGUUUUAAGCUGUUGCUUUAAGGACGGUUAUUUUUAUAUUCAUUUUUAAUUAAAACAACCCAAAACACCAAACCCCAAAAUUUUUUAAACAGCAUAAUGUUUUCAGAGAAGACUGACAAUUUUUGAAUUAUUCAAAAACCAUGCAGAAAGUACUAGGGGAAGCUGUUGGUAGUUAGUUGCAGUGCUGUGUAAAGGAACUGACAAGUGAAAGGUGAUGUUAACUGCUGAUAACUUCCAGUUGGGCGGAGGCAGGAGGAAAAUAUUCUAAUUAUUUACAAGGUUCUUGGAAACAAAUGGAUGAGAGAAAGUACAUAUUCAGUAUUAUUCAUAUAUUUAGAGGACAGUUUGAUUUUACUGGCUGAAAUCAAAGUGGAUGCAAAUGUUUUAAGCACUUUUUUUUUUGCUCUGUUAUUUAUGUAGUUAAACAUAGAAGCUAUAAUCAUGCAUUGUUUCAUAUAGUAAUAUGCCAUUACUAACCUGUUAUUUUAGGAAGAGCCUUUUAAGUUGAUGAAGUGAGAGAACCAAAAUUGGAGUGAGAAGGUGCAUAGUGGCAAAGCGGAAAUGAUGUGAAGAAAGCCUUCGAACCACUGGAAGUCUCUGUAGAAUCCUUCAGAUUAUUUUGUCAGUACUAGAACAGAUUUGGUUAAUGCCAUGCAGCGUUGCAAUGAAGAAUAUCCCUAGAAGCUGUUUGAGAGAACACCUGCAGAAUGUCAAAGCUCUUAGAGGUGACACUGGAGCUGUGGGUAUGUUUGUAGCUGUGUGGGUGGCUGUGGCAUGGAGGGGAAGAUGUGUCCUACCUUUCCUAGUUUCCAUUUUGGCCCCUGGGUCUGGUCUAAUGACAGUAUCCCUAAAUAAUCCUCCGUCUGUGGUUUUCAAAUGGGGACAGUGUGGUUUUACCUGCCUUUACAAGUGGUGUGAGAUGCUGAGUUGAAAAUCCCUAUUCAAAAGCAAGCUGUUAGUGUCUAGAUCUCCAGUUUAAUUUCAAGAAGACCCUAUGGUAGACCAGUCUGCAGGCCUGUUUUUAAGUGCCCAUUUCCCUUGACACCUGCUUACCAAAAUCAAAUGAGACUGAAAGUCAUUUUUAUCACAGGUGAAAUAUCUCAUUUAUUUUUUUUUUUUGAGCUGUAAGAAGGGUUUGGAAGCUACUAUGGAUAAUUUAAGCCCCUUCAAAACAAUAAUCGUCUCCCAAAACAUUAAUUAAGAAUAAUAAAUAGGUUGCCUCAAUUUCCUCCACUUCCACAAAAAAAACCCUCGUGGUCCAAAUGAUGAUGUGCGAAUAUGUCAUUCUGUGCAAAAUGUAUUACUUGAAAGUACACUGUAUUAAUCUACUGCAUUUGCUCUGGUUUCACACCAAAUCGUGAAAUGUGAAAUGCUAGGAAAUGUUAACUGCCAGAUGUAAACAACAAUUUGACACAUCUGUGUCAGCAGAGGUACUGACAGAAACAAACAUAUUCUUAGCUAUUUGUAUCUGCUGGGUUUUGAAAACGUGCCUAUUUUUUGCCACCGUUCACAUUUAUCUUCAGCAAUAAUUUUGAAUGGGAAAGUAGGCUCUAAAAUGCAGUUUGUAGCAUUUCCAUUUCUGACCUUUGUACUGUGAUCUUCAUAACCUGACACGAGCAGCUUUUAAAGAAUUUAGAUACAAACACAACUUCAAGCAACAGUUUUUAGCUGUCCAUCAGUUACCGGGACGGAACGUCAGCUGUGAAGCAAUUUAAUCCAAAAUGUAUGGUGUUAUUUGAGGUGGGUGAGGAAAUUUGUGUCUUGGCUUUCUUUUCUGUUUUGCUGAAAGAAGCUGUGUUCACUUUGAGGCGGUUGCUCUCUAAUCUGGUAGUCACAGUCUAGAUUUAUUUUUUUAAGCAUAACAUUGCUACCUCCUCCACUUCAGCUUUCAGUUCUGUCCAUCAGCGGUCUGUUUUUGCAUUAAUGACUUGACCUUAAUCGUCCUGACUUUCUGUGAGUUUUCCCUCUGAAGACAGCAGGGUUGAUUUGUGUGGAACUCUGUGGCUCCAAGUCAGCAUUGAAAAGGAGCAGUUUCUCUUCUAAAGAUACCAAAUGAAAACAAACUUCACAACAUCCUGUAACAAAAUUAAUUUUAAAAACCAUUGUUUAGAUUUUCAGUUAACUUUUAAAAGAAAAUUCAGUUUUUAGCACUUUGUUCUUAGCCUUGAAAAGGGAUUCUUUUUUUACCUGUAGUUGCGCUCAGUGCUUCUCGAAGUGUUGGACAUUAUAAGAACAUCCACUGUCCAAAUCCAGCCACAGUGGGAGUCGGAGGUGAAUUUAUUUGUCAAAAGCUUAAAAUUCCACGGUAAGCCUGUCCAUUUUGCCAAAUGUGCUUCUGUUUUUAUGGGGAUAAAACCAGAUUAUUAUGCAAGAUCUGAACUGGCUUUUUUUAGUAAGAAAAGUUGCGUGAAGACAUCCUUGCAGUAAAUGGCAAAGAUGAUGCUGAUCUCUAGGGAUACCAGAGCUCUCAGGGAUACAUAAAGGUGCUAUAUACUGUCAAGAGACAGGUUUGACUGUCUUUUGUGGGCGAGGUGGAAAAUGCUUUUUAGAAUCAAAUUCUAUGAAGAGUCAGGAGAAGAACCUAGAAGGUGUAGUAGGGGCUUCUGCACAUUUGAUUUCUGUCUUGGUUGCUCUAAUGAGAGAUUUUUUGUAGUCUCAGGCAAGUAGCUCUUCUCUAGGAGCAUAAAUCAGAGCCCUGUUCUGUGGUGGAGAAGCUGUGGCACAGAGGGGAGUUUUGCUCAGCUUUCCUGCAGCCUGCACAGGAGAGCUUUCCCUUUUCUGCUGUCCCCCAUGAAAAGCAGGAAGAGUUUUAUGCCUUCAUAUUGCUCAGACUUUUGCACAAGUGCGGGGUGCUACGGUUUUUCUCUAGAAAUACUUUUAAUUCAAAGCAGGUGAGCCACGGCAGAGUUCCUAUAGUUUCUUGGGAUGAAAAGCUGCUCUGACUUACCAUCAACAUUUAGAAAAAAAAGUAGAGCAAUAACAGAUAAAUUUAAACUAAAUGUGUACUAAAAUGGAAAAAAAAUCUUGGCAUUUUGAGAAAUGUAUUUCUGGCUUCUCUUGUAAUGCUGUGUAUCUUUUUUUUUUUUUUGAAGUGGAUGACAUUUGGAGCAGUUUUCUCCAAAAAUAUCUUCUUAAAUUUAAUAAGUAAGACUACCUGAGGCUGCUGCUACAUUGUCCCUGUUGGAGCAGCUGUUAGAGUUGAGCAGCUCAUGCAUAGAUUUCAAUGGCCUCUGGACCAAACUUGGGAACUGCAGGGUUUGUUAUCAUACAAGCUGGCUGUGUAACUAGACCUCAUUUUUAAUAUCAGAAAACCCUGGACUUAAAGAUAGCAAACUCCUUACUAGAAUUCAGUAGUUAGUUCAAAUUACUAAUUUAAAAGAAACAACACUUCCAUUGUUAAGAACUCUGUGCUUUAGGGUCUGGUUUUGUGGUUUUUUCAGUACUGCAGUGUCACGCAAAGCCAGAGUCCAGUUCUCCAAGAUACAGAAUUCCUGCACUUCUUCCUGAUAUUGUAGGAAUUAAAUGGGCUUAUUGCCAAUGAAAGCUUGAGCCCUUAAAGCAUGAAUACUCACAUGUCUGCUUUAAAUUUAAAUACAGAUUACAAGAAUUAACCAAAAGAAUGCAGCAGGAAUGUGCACACAUGGAGCUACAGCAUUCAAAGGAGAAGUAGCUGAGAUAGUUCGAAAGAAAUUCUCUUGUGAAAGGACAAAAUGUUGGAAGUGGAGAGUGAGGAUUUGAGGAAUGGCUGAAGGCAUUUGGAGGAGGAUUUGGAACAUUUUGUAUCCACAGUAGAGCUGCUAGAAGGGCUUGAUUCAUAUGGUAUGUUUUUCAUGGCGUGGUAGGGUAAGUGAGUAUGUAGUCAUAGGUGUUAUUUUUACUGGCAUUUUAAAAUGUGAUUUUUUGAAACUCCAAAUAUUUUUUUUUUCAGAGGCUCUGUUAUUUUUACAUAUCCUUUCCAAAUGUAUUUAAUGCAAUCUGUCAGCUCAGUCUCUGUUUACUUAUUAAAGGUCAGAGUUUUAAAAGCACGGUCUCUGGUUUGACACAUGCGAAGUGCAGGGGAAUAGGCAGAGGUGCAGUUUUGUAGUGAAAAUUUCGAGUGGAUGCAGGUGAGAUGAUUUGAAAGUCUAAAUACUUUGUGAAUGCAGCCAGUUUACAGUAGGUGUGAAUUGCACCAGGUUAAGGCUGGGCUGAAAUUUAGGCCCUUGAAAUGUGGAAUUUAACACGUGCUCGAAGUUACAUUGCAGCACAGUGUUUGCAAUACAGUGGUAUUAAAAUAAUACUGUACUGUGAUGGGGUAAGAGAAAAAUCUUGAACUUCAAACAGCUGUUGCAAAUGUGUGUAAAAAAAAAAAUAAAUUAAAAACCAAUAAAUAUUUCUUAGUAAGAUCCCGUUGGGGACCAGCUAAUUUGGUGCAUUCUGUUGGCAUCACAUAUGUUCCUUUAAGGUCUAUGGGGGCUGAACAAAAAAAAAGGAUUUGUUAACUUCAAUGAACAUUUCAAAAAACAGUUGCUAAAUGGCCUUUGGUUCUGUUCUCUGCAAUUUUCCACAUGAUGCUGCGUUCAGUGGUGGAGAAUAACCUCCAGUGUAUUUGUUCUUUGGAAGACUAUUGUUCAGCUCUAAUUAGGGAACGAAGAUAGAAAUCAAAUGCAAAGAAUCUAAUGAAUAGUUUCCAAUAGAUCCAGCCUGGGGCAAGUGAGAGGGCAAGGCUGUAGAUAACAUAAAGUUAUUUUGGAUCAGAUACAUGGCAAUCCGAACUACCAAAUUCUUAAUUUUAUGAGCACAGUUUCAGAAGGUGCCUGACUUUUAUAAAGGGAAUUUAAAUGCUGUUUUUCCAUUUGGAAAUAUUUAGGUAAAAUACGGAGGCUCUUAAAAUACUUUAAAGACUUUGCAAAUGCCAUUGAUUUUUAGAAUGGUGGGAAACUUGAUGAGGAAAACCCAUGUAAAAUCCUCCAGUGUGUCAGACUGGCGGGUGUGCUCUUUGCAAAGAUAACUUUCUUAAAUGGCUUUGAUAUCCCCAAGGUCUCUCUCCUCUGUAUGGCUGGUCUGGGGGGACUCGGAUGGAAAUUUGGGAGGCUUGACCUGGCAAAUGAGUGAGUGUGUCACCUCCUGCACAUUGCUGAAAUCUCUUCCUUCAGUUAGAGCCAGUGGGCGUUUGGAGUCCUUUCAGCAGUUUUGUAGGAUUGAGUCCUUCAUGUCAGAGGAACGCAGGGUCUGGCUUCGUUUUCGUUUGAGCCAGUUUGCAAGGAUUUAAAUGGGACUUUGAUUAAACAGUAGCAAACGUGAAGUAUUAUUUUCUAGUACUAAGCUAGUGGUUAACAUGUCUAUUUUUGCUGUCUUGCCACCAAUACUGUAAAAAUGUAUAAUCAAAGCAGCUUUAAUUCUUGUAAAACUGAAAUUGGUUUGUAAAACAAUGUACAAAUUGUGUUUCAUAGACAGAAAAGCUUGUAUUACUGAAUGUAAUAUAUGUGAAAUGAAUAUAUUAUAGUCUAUUUUUGCCAUGGAAAUAAAUAUUUGAAGCAAC